AGCACUAGUUGCGGGUGCAGGGGGUCAGAGUGACUGGAGGAGAGAAUCACCCAAAGCUCCAUCAUCCUGAAGAAGGGAGCAAGGGAAUGACUUCGCGCUUCUUGAGAUAAACAUGUUGAAGAAUCUGGAGCAGAAGAUAAAUUAAUGUCAAGAGGGCGCUUCCCGGGCCUCCAUCUCCUGUUUUGACUGUUUGGGCUCCAACUUCCAGGAUUUUAAGCAGGUUCCCUCGAGGCCUUACUGUGAAAAGAGAUCCCAACAGGACAGCGAGCACGUGUGUUGCGGGUGUACAGAAAAGGAACACAGAAUUGUUCGACCAUCUGCAGUGGGCUCCUUCCUGUUUAAUUUUCAGACCCAGCCAGGGACCUAAGACGAUCAAGAAAAACGUUCUUCUCCCCAUGCUCUCAUCUAGAAGAGAAGGAAAUGGAGGCUCAGAAUGCUGAUCUGAGUUGCCUGAGAUCCCACUGCUAGAAAUUGCAGCGAGAGACUGGGACGCUGGUCCCCUCUGGUUCCAAGUCCAGAUAGAAAUGAUUGAAGUUGUGGUAAACGUAAACAAGACGGAGCCAGCAGAUAAGCAGCGGCACCCCAACAGAAGUAAGGAGUGGAGUGACAUCUGGAGGAGACAGGAAGAAAGGAGUGUGAAAGAGUUGGGAGUUUGAAAAUACUGGAAGAUUAGCCCUGAGCUAACAUCUGCUGCCAAUCCUCCUCUUUUUGCUGGGGAAGACUGGCCCUGAGCUAACAUCCAUGCCCAUCUUUCUCUAUUUUAUGUGAGACGCCUGCCACAGCAUGGUUUGCCAAGUGGUGCACAAGUCUGCACCUGGGAUCCAAACCAGUGAACCCCAGACCGCUGAAGCAGAACGUGCGAAGUUAACUGCCGUGCCCCAAGGCUGGCCCCACAUUAAUACUUUUUAAAAGCAUCAUUUUAAUAACUACAUAAUAUGUUUUAAUGGACGUACCACAAUUUAUUUACUAUAGUACAUUUAAGGUAACACAGUUAAGAUAAAUAACACUAAUAAACAUCACCAUCCAUAUAUUUUUCCUACAUUUCUCAUAGUUUCCUUAAAAUAAAAUCCUAUAAAUUAUAUACUUUAUGUUCUUAUUGAAUUGUGCUUAAUUUUGUGAGUUGAUUUACAAUAUCUACCAACAUCAGAUUAUGUGAGAAUUCAGUGAGAUGAGGUAUGUUCCUAUUUUCCUGAGCUAAGUUGGAAUAAAAGUUGUGGUCAUACAAGCACUUGAAGAAUAUUAAAGAUCUUCUUGACCAUUUCUUCUCCACUAAAAAAAAGGGAGGAGGGAAGGAACAACUUUUGAUGUGGGAUCCUUCCCAGAUUUUAAAUUAUUGUUCCUUUCCUCUGGGUUCUCUAAAGUCUUGCCUUAAUGACCAGACUCUCUCUAAAAACAGGCUCUGAGACUCUGACCACAGAGGGAAGGUUCUCUUACAGUCUCUACACAGUUAAGGAAAAGGCAGAGACCAGGGAGCCCUGAUCCAGUGACUUGCAGAGAGAAAUUAACCUUCAGUUUUUUGGGGUUUUUUGAGGAAGAUUGGCUCUGAGCUAGCAUCUGUUGUCAAUCUUCCUCUUUUUUUCCCCGCUUCUCCCCAAAGCCUCAGUACAUGGUUGUAUAUUCCAGUUGUAGGUCCUUCUGGUUGUGCUACGUGGGACACUGCCUCAGCACGGCUUGAUGAGCAGUGCACAGGUCAGCGCCCAGGAUCUGAACUGGCGAACCCUGGGCCGCCAUAGUGGAUCAUGUGAACUUAACCACUCGGCCACAGGACUGGACCCAACCUUUACCUUUUCAAGGUAGAGAAGAGAAAGAAGUUUGUUUUUCUUAGACAAUGCCUGACCUUCUUUGUAAAGUCUAAUUCUAUUCUUACAUGUUGUAGACAAGAAUGUUUCAAAGUUAUAUCCUAUGUAAGGUUAAGUCACUUUACUGAGCUUGAAAAAUACUGAUUCAUUCCAAACUCUCCUACCAGUAGACUGUACAGUUGUUCAUAAUUGAGGAAAUUGGAUUAGAAUGAAGCUUCACAGAAUCCAAGGAGAAUUCCUUAUUUUUCAGUUGCCUCCAUGUCCAAUUGUGUGAGGCAUAAUUCUAAGAUGGCCUCACAAUUCCAGACUCCUGGAAUAAUGUCCUGUAUAAUCUCUUCCCCUUUCACGUGUAUGGGACUUAGGAAUAUGGUAGGAUUUCAUUCCCAUGAUUAGGUUACAUUAUGUGACAAAGGUGAAAGGAUUGCACAGAUGUAAUUAAGGUCCCUAAUCUGCUGACUCUGAGUUAAUCAAAGGCAUAAAAACCAAACAAUCCAAUUAAAAAAUGGGUAAAAACUUGAAUAGAUAGUUUUUCUAAAUAAGAUACAAAUGGCCAAUAAGGAGAUGAAAAGAUCCUCAACAUCAUUAAUCAUUAGGGAAAUGCAAAUCAGAACCACAAGGAGAUACGUCUUCACACCUAGUAGGAAGGCUGUUAUACAAAAACCAGAAAAAAGCAAGUGUUGGUAUGGAUGCACACUGUUGGUAGGGAUGUAAAAUGGUAUGACUGCAAUGGAAAACAGGUAGUUCCUCAAAAUUAAACAUUGAAUUAGCAUUCCAUCCAGCAAUUCCACUCCUGAGUAUAUACCCAAAAAAAUUGAAAGCAGAGAUUCGAACAGACGUUUGUAUACCAAUGUUCAUAGCAGCAUUAGUCACAAAAGCCUAAAUGUGGAAACAACCCAAAUGUCCAUUGAUGGAUGAAUGGAGAGACAACAUAUGGUAUAUACAUACAAUGGAAUAUUACUCAAUUUUAAAAAGGAAUAAAAUUUGAAUACAUACUACAGCAUGGAUGAACCUUGAAGACGUUAUACUAAAUGAAAUAAAUCAGACACAAAAGCACAAAUGCUAUAUGAUUCCACUUAUAUGAGGUACCUAGAAUAGGCAAAUUCAUAGAAAUACAAAGUAGAACAGUGGUUAUUAGGGGCUAGGAGGAGGAAGAAAUGGGGAGUUAUUAUUUAACAGGUAUACUGUUCAGUAUAGGAUGAUGAAAAACUUCUGGAGAUCAAUAGUGGUAAUGAUGAUUGCACAACAAUGUAAAUGUGCUUAAUGCCACUGAACUGUGCACUUAAAAAUGGUGAAAAUGGUUUGGCAGGGUGCAUUAUCCUGGGUGGGCCUGAUCUAAUCAGGUGAGCUCUUUAUAAGAGAGCUCAUGGCUUCCCUGAGAAAGAUUUAUAGCAGCAGAGAUGCUCUCCUGGAUUUGGAAGAGUAAACUGCCAUGUUGUGGGGAGGGCCAUGUGGCAGGAAAUAGCAGGUGGCCUCUGGGAAUUUAGGGCUUCAGUCCUACAGCCAUAAGGAACUGAAUUCUGCCACCAGCCAAUGAGCUUAGAAGAAAACCCCAAGUCUCAGGGGAAAUCGUAGCCUCAGCCAGCAUCUUGAUGUCAGCCUUGUGACAUCACUGAGUAAAGAGACUCUGAGACUGUGAGACUCUGAGUAAAGCGUACAGCUAAGCCUCGACUCCUGAGCAAGAGAAACUAUGAGAUUAUAAAUACAUAUUGUUUGAAGCUGCUAAAUUUGUGGUGAUUUGUUCUGCAGCAAUAGAAAGCUAAUAGACAGACACUGCUGUAUUUAUCAGUUCUCCUCAUUAAUUAGACAAAAUAUAACUGUGCUACUCUCACUUUUGUGCCUCAGUAAAGCAGGGCCCUGAGAUGAGGACUUGCCUGUGUGUCUGUGUGGUUCCUUUGCCCAUCCCAAAUCUUGGAUGCAUAUAUUUUUUUAAGAUUUUAUUUUUCCUUUUUCUCCCCAAAGCUUCCCGGUACAUAGUUGUGUAUUUUUAGUUGUGGGUCCUUCUAGUUGUGGCAUGUGGGAUGCCGCCUCAGCGUGGCCUGAUGAGCAAUGCCAUGUCUGUGCCCAGAAUUCGAACUAGCGAAACCCUGGACCGCUGAAGCAGAGCGCUCGAACUUAACCACUCGGCCACGGGGCCGGACCCAGAUGCAUGUUUUGAUUGAUGAUGAUUGUCCUCAAUGUACAAGAUCCUGUGCUAUCCCCCCACCCUACCGUCGCUCCCUCAUGCACUGGAAUCAUCCUGAAAUGAUUUGUAACAUUCCCUUCAUCCCUGGCUCAGGGUGUCCUAAGGUCUUUGGGACCAGCGGUCCCUAAAUCACAUGACAGCUUUUCCUGUUGUGAUAAUAGGGUGAGCACAGUGGCAAAUCGGUGGCUGGUCUGCUGCAGCAGCUCAGGUGAUGCAUUCCACUGCUGCCCCCCACACUGACCUCAUGCCCGAGUAGACCAGCUUUCCCCUGCUUCCAUCCACAGACACAGUUAUCUUUCAGGCUCAAGGAGCCUCAGCAUCCCACCCUUCACAGAACCAGCACCUUCUCCCUUGCAGGCCAGUGGAUCCUUUUUUAGAUUCUCAAACACAAACAUCUGAUCAUCCACCUUUCUCAGGGGCUUGAGUGACGACAGGAACACAAUGGUGGUGGUGGAGAGGGGUAAGGAGCUGAUGUCAUCUUUCACACUUCAAAGGUAUUCAGCAACCCUGGGACGACCAAGGUCACACACAUAGACACACUUCUUCUCUGGAAGACCAUCUCCUCACAGAUUUCCAGCCCCGUGGUUACCCUCGAAUGAACCCCAUCUCCAAGAGGUUUGUGGGGAAGCCAGGAGAGAGGAGGCAGAUCGCGCAUUCUGUCACAUGCAUCACUGGUUUGGGACAAUUAUUUUAAUCCCCGUGAUAGGAACAUGUUCAUAUUUCCAUGUUUGCACAAUACUUUUCAGUCUACUUAACUUGAUAUCCAAGGACACUAUAAGCCAAUAUCCAAUUUAAUAGUUUUAUUAAGAAAACAGUAAAGAAAUAAACUUGAGUCAAAUAGAUGGCCUCAUACAAAUGGUAUCUCCAAUACCGUCAGAGACCAAGCACGUGAUGGACGACGCUAUUGUAGUUUUCUUUAAAAAGAGCGCCAGAGCACUGCGUCUCUAACACCCUCCCAAAGGUGACUAAAUGCUAGCGGAUAAACUUAUAUCCUCACUAGGGACAGAACAGCUCAUUUCUUACCUUAAAAAAAAAUAUUUUCUGGCUUCACAGGUUUUUAAAGAGCCUGUGCUUGAAACUGAAAUCAUACAACACGCUGGAGCAGGGACAAUUCCUGAGUGUUGCUGGGGCUUCUUUGGAAAGUUACCCACAUAGAAACAAUGAAAUUUCACUUGAGUGUAGAAUAUAUUUGCAGAGAAAAAGAGAAUGCAAAUGAGAUUGCAAUCAGAAGCACCGUAUUUCCCAUUUUUAAAAAAAUAUGUUUUUAGAAGUGCCUUGUUUUUCAAAAUAGGCAAAUAAGGACAUGAAGACAUACAAACACUCAAGCAUUGACAAAGAAAACUUCUUCUUUCGUGACUUUUUAUUUAUUUCUCUCUAGUAGACCAAACUCCAACCUGUAUAUUCAGGACUGGAGCGAGAACCAGGAUGGAGAAAAAUUUUAAGGACUUUGUGUAAAGAAGGUCUUGCUUCCCUCCCGAGGCCAGCGAGAGAUGGUGAAGCAAGCAAGGAUGGAGCAACACCCCAAAGCUGUGACACGCAGGCCCCACCAGCGACUGGCCUUGGGCCCCUUCACCCCCGUCACUCCCUCCACCACCUCCCCAGGCUCUCCCAGCUCCCUGGGAUCCCAGGCUCUCCAUGCCCGGCCCAGUCUGCGACCAAUGCCUGGGCUAGGCCUGGCUGGUGUCUCCUUGCCCUCUAGGCCUUUGCCUCUUCCUCCAGGGAGUCCUCCCUAAUGCCCUUCCCAGACUGAGUCCGUCUGUGCUGCAUGUGUCAUGUCUGUGAAACGUAGAGGACAUAUGGCUCCUCCAGGAGGGGCACAGGAGUCUGGGAGGGAACCAGUGGGAGGCUGGCAAGAGGAAGCAAGGAGAAGCCAGCACAGAUGCCUGAGCAACUGACUGAAGCCUUGUCGUCUCUGACCUUGGAAGUCAGGCCCUCACUCGGUUACCUGAUCUCACGGCUCAAUUUGCAACCGGAAGCACAUCAUCGGCUCAAACGAACGUUGGUUGAAUGAAUGAACUGGAGGAAAAGAACCGGGGAGGCAGAGGGGGUCUGAAAACCUCGAGUCGGGUCUGCAUCCUGCUGUGUAAAAUGAGCUCACACGCGCACUGCAGGAGAUUCCAACAGCCUGGCCUGGGGUCUCCUCUUCCAUCAGGGCUCAGCUGAGCCACCGCCUGCCCCAGGAAGCCUUCUCUCAACCCCACAGUUCACUGGGGGUGGGGGCAGGGGCACCGUGCAUAAGCUCGUUGUUGGAGGGAGUAAUGGACCAAGUCCAGAAAGUUCCAUUGCAAGAUGAUGAGAGUCAGGGAGGCAGGGUGGCCUCAUGGGCUUUGCCAUUUUCUUUUUCUUACCUUGUUAAAUUAAAAGCAAUUUUCAAAAAAGUGAAAAGAAAACUCUCUCCCAAUAAAAGGAUCUUCCAGCUGGAGUUGGGAUCCUUCCUAGGAGAGUAUCAGUAUUUUCUCUGUUCUAGGGGGAGCGCUGGAAUAUAUCCUGGGGCAGACUCUCCUUUUGUUCCGGAGGACUGUGAGCUGGUUUGGUUUGAGGUCUAUAAGAUUCUUCAUUGUUGUGGGGAGAAGUCCCAAGGAAAGCCCCAAACCAAUGAAGUGAUCCUACUGCAGAUGUUUCAGAGGGAGGUGUUGAGGGCUUUUCUUAGCGCUGUACCUUGACGUGUCUUCUUGACAGGACUAAGCCUCUGCAGGAUCAGAGCCACCAUGGAGCAGCAUGGAGACUGGGCAGAGAAAUCAGCCAGCUCUGCUCACCGGUCCGUGAGGUGCUAGUCUUCCCAGAGAAAGGGCAGCUUUUUCUAAUUUUCACGAUGUGCCAUAGAGACUAGAGUUUCUGAGAGACAGUAUACAACCCCUGAGACCAUGCCAAGAAGGACCUAGGGAUCUGAUCUGAUCUCUACCAUUUACCAGAGGAAAGACUAUGAAGAGGAAGUAAACUGAGUUUGGUUUAGAAGCGCUGGCUCCUUGAUUUUGUUGCCCAGACGUGGUAUUAAGCCUGAAUAACCCAGCCUGCAGGAAAUGUGUUGUCAGCUGUUGAGAGUGUCUUGUCUGAGCAAUGGAGGAGGGAGAUGGAGUGGGCAGACGGUAUGCUACGUGGAGGGUGGGAGUGCUCCUAAGCCGAUGGGUGCUCCCACUGCGAAUCAGCCUGGGAUAGGAAAAGAAACAGGUCCAGGAAGGGGAGAGGGCUCUCUAGAGCCAGAGAAGUUGAGCCUGGAUUUCGGGUAGGAGGACAGCAGCAAAGAUCCUUGCAAGAUGGCAGCUGUCUGAGGAUCAAGGAGAAAGAAGACCAAUAGGGGAUGACCUAUAGGAGGGUGCGGAUUAGGCACCUAGGAAGAGUGAUAGCUGGAUAUUUUUUGACCACAUUACAGUCCAUUCAGCAAUCUCCAAGCCUUCAGUGAAGUUUAUUUAGCUUUGAAGAAAUAAAGAAGAUGCCUGGACCUGCGCAUUGGGCCACCGCAGCCUGGACAAGCCGUUACACAAGAGGGGAGUUGCGGUUUGGAGAAAAAUGACUGGCUAAAGGGACGAAUGCAGGGGAACCAUCUUCAUGGGACAGAUAAGCAUUCUUUGAGGACUAUCAGAAACACUUGGCGAGGGCAACCAGAAAACCAGGACUUCAUGCAGUUGUUCAAGUCAGGAGCUUGGAUGAAGUUAGUUGGUGUUAAAGGAAAGGUUGACUCUGGAAGGCUAGAGGUGGUGGGGACAUGUGAGAUCCCCAGGGGAGAACGAAUGGCUAGAAGGGAAGGGAAUGUGGCAUUGCUGACUCCAAAGUGCCACAACACAUUUUUCUUUUAGCUCUCAAAGUGAAAAGCUGACAGUUCCAUUCCUAUAAGGGGAAGGCAUUUUGCUAGAUGGAAU
This is a long non-coding RNA of Equus caballus (horse), 7838 nucleotides long. Lineage: Eukaryota; Metazoa; Chordata; Mammalia; Perissodactyla; Equidae. The record is from Ensembl.